Molecule: long non-coding RNA, 2808 nt
Filed under: Mus caroli (Ryukyu mouse)
Lineage: Eukaryota; Metazoa; Chordata; Mammalia; Rodentia; Muridae
Description: predicted gene 16299 (MGP_CAROLIEiJ_G0003104.1)
Source: RNAcentral
AUUAUGGGUAGUAGGAACUGCGCAAGAUCCACCGAAGGAUGGCCUUACAGCUACACCCAGAGAAAAUAUGUCUUCAGCGGGUGUGAGAAGCCUGUUUACAGCCCGAGGAGUCUGGACGGCCCUUGUAGAAACCUGAUUACUCUGUUUAUGACGACUCAGACAGCCAAGGAGAAGCCAUGGCUCUGUCAAAUAGCUCAGCCUAAGUGAAAAGCAACAUCCAUCCCUGGAGACCCUGAAGAGAGAGAGUGACAGGGGCUGGGGACACACAAAUCACAGGCCACUAGCAAACAUGGCAUGCAACUGUCUCUCCAAGGCCCCAUCUCUAUCAAAAUAAACACGGGAAAGAGAGACUCAAGCAGAGACGAGGCCAGUUCAGAUUCAGCCCAGCUGCGGCAGCAGCAGCCGGCUUCUGUGACAGUUUUAGAUUUUGUGGCACUUUGGGUAUGUUUUGCACUCUCCCUCCUCCAGCCCCUGUGUCGCUUUGUCCUCCUGCGUAGAAAGGGAGCUUCCAGAGUAGCAAUGGGUUUUUGUUGGUGGUGGUCCACAAACAAUAGUGCUCCCGCUGGGACAGAGUCUUGGUUACUGGUCUUGUUCAACAGGGUAUGUUCCUGGAAAGACUUGCGUCAAUGGACUCAGAAAGAAAAGACCACGGUACAAGUCCAAGGCAUGACUUCAGAGAAAAAUGCGUCAUAGCCCAUUGUCUUUGGAGGUCUCUGUAAGCAGGGGGCAGAAGUCCAUGACUGCUCUGAGGGGCUGCCCUGAGCCUUCACAGAGCCUGUGAAAUAGUUUUCAAUGGCAGCUCAGCUCCUCCGCAGGUUCAGCUCCUCAGCAGGCUCACCUUGUCUUCUCGUCUCAGCAUUUUUACACUUCAGGUUUCCCAGAGAGAGAAACUGCCUGCCUUCGAUUCCCCUCGCCAGAACAGGCCAACUGGUCACCGGCACUAGGCAGAAGAACUCCACUGAAUAAUAGCACACUGGUAAUGUAGGACCUGGAGGGAGUCCCUGACCUCCCACGUAUCCUCGAGGAGGUUCACGUGGCCAGCAUGACGUCAUAAAGCUUGUAAUGAUAAAACCAGUCAAACGAAGCUUCUCCCCUCCCGUGGGAUCUACAAGAAGCACUCGGGAUGCCUGUGUCCAUCUUGGGAGCUGUGCUGCAGUGCAGAAGGACCACAGGGUCCCACAGUCCUGGAAUCUUUCCCUUGUUCUAUGGCUGCCCACGGCUAGGCAGGUCCCUGUCACACCUAACAUUGGCUCCCUCUUCCUCCUCCUCUCCUCCUCUACCCUCUUCCUCCUCCUCCUCCUGAGGAGCUUAGGGGUGAAGUGUAGGGAGAAGGAAGAGAAAUUUACUAAGGUAAAGAGUCACUGUAAGGAGAAGUCCUCUGAGAGCCUGGAGGCAGAGCUCUGUGGCUCUAGGGCAAGGUGUAGGGCUCCCAGACCUGGGUUGCUUCAACCUUAAACCACCUCCAUUUUCCAGCACUGUUACCUCAGGAGAGGUACCAAGUCUCUCUUGGCCCCAGUUUCUCAACUAUACAAUAAGGGUAAUAAUAGUACCUAUGUGUGGGGCUGUCUGGAAGACUAAAUGAGCUCAUAUGUUGCAGAAAGGCUAAGAACAGAUUAAACACAACAGACAUGUUAGCUGUAGUCUGUGGCAUCUGGGAUCUCCAUCUCCUACCAGCUGUCUAUGUAGAAGCAUAGUGUUUUAUAAGCUUCCCACCUCUAACCAUUUAGGAGAAGUGGUCCUAGGAUUCGUUUGAGUUAACACAGAAUGUCAGAGACAUCAUCCCUGCUCAUCAUCACAUGGCUAGUGUUUGCCUGGCUUGUACAGGGCCUCCACGGGAACCUCAGAUCACCCAGAGAGAAGCAGAUACGACAAGCAGACCAGUGUAAGGACAACGUUGGCCCAGAAGCCUGGGCAGAGUCGCAGCUAGCACAGAGUGGUCGAAGGAUUUAUUACCCAGUAACAACCGUUGUUAGUUCCGUGGGUCGUAACUAGUUAGGACCGUGUGCAAAGCGUUGUCACAGACACCAUCCGUGUAGGUGAUAGACACUCGGUGGGCUAUCCCACGCUGUGGGAUGGCCUCAUCCCUGCCCUGGGCACCAGGCUAGGAGGCCAUGAGUAACAUGCCAAGAUGUGAGGCAGAGUACAAAGAGGUUACUACUCAUCUGAAAACUUAGAAUUUCUCCUACCUCUCAAACUCAUCAUGUGGAAAGUUACUGUCCAUAUGUCCAUCCAUAAAGGAAUGGCGUUUUAGAGAAGUCAAAUGAUCCGUCUGUGGCCUACACAGCUCUCAGCCCCAGCACUCAGACCUGAAUUUAGAUCUCCGACUCCAAGGCCACAGGCUCAGUGGUCAACGCUGGAGGGCAGGAAUGAUGUGUAGGGCAAACUCAGAACUGCCCUGCCCGUGGCUCUCACAGCCUUUUCUAAUUGCCCCCAAAGGGCUCAAGUGAUACCAGCUCUCAUCUUACACCCAAAGCUCGAGGAGACGUCAGGGUGCAGGCUCUGACCCCAGACUGCUUGUCACCCAGGCCAGCCUCCUCCCAGCCUGGUUAAGAGUAAACGGUAGAAACCACAAAACUAACUUUAACUGAAAUAUGAACUUCCAAAUAAGCACUCUUUCCUAAGGGGCUUCUACUCAACACCAUGAAUAUACAGACAUGGAGAGGGCAGCACGUGGAGACCUGCCCAGCAGAGCGUGGGAGAGGAGAGGGGAAGGAUGCCACAGCUGAGCCGCUCACCAGGCGUCUCUGACGGGGCUCGACCAGGGACAUUUGUUUUGCUGCAGGUUUUGAUGGCAGGCGUGAGGGCAAU